AUGGCGAACGCUGAAAAGCCUUAAAUAGAGUAAGCG
Molecule: regulatory RNA element, 36 nt
Organism: Pedobacter nyackensis
Lineage: Bacteria; Pseudomonadati; Bacteroidota; Sphingobacteriia; Sphingobacteriales; Sphingobacteriaceae
Rfam family: DUF805b RNA
About the family: Bacteroidetes, Chlorobi (1 example), Proteobacteria. Lineage (Flavobacteria)
Source: Rfam